UGCUGCCUGGUUAAGAGCUGUGU
This 23-nucleotide microRNA is filed under the name Schmidtea mediterranea. RNAcentral describes it as "sme-miR-745-3p". Its record names the gene sme-miR-745-3p. The record is from miRBase by way of RNAcentral. Lineage: Eukaryota; Metazoa; Platyhelminthes; Tricladida; Dugesiidae.